Molecule: ribosomal RNA, 487 nt
Filed under: uncultured bacterium
Lineage: Bacteria
Description: partial 16S ribosomal RNA
Rfam family: Bacterial small subunit ribosomal RNA
Source: RNAcentral
AAUCAACGCUGGCGGCGUGCCUAACACAUGCAAGUCGAGCGAGAAAGGGGCUUCGGCCCUGAGUAGAGCGGCGCACGGGUGAGUAACACGUGGUUAAUCUGCCCUCGAGUGGGGAAUAACACCGGGAAACCGGUGCUAAAACCGCAUACGAUCACGAUGUUUUCGGAUGUUGUGAUGAAAGGAGCAAUUCGCUCUUGGAGGAGCCCGCGGCUGAUUAGCUAGUUGGUGAGGUAAUGGCUCACCAAGGCAACGAUCAGUAGCCGGUCUGAGAGGACGGUCGGCCACACUGGAACUGAGACACGGUCCAGACUCCUACGGGAGGCAGCAGUGGGGAAUUUUUCGCAAUGGGGGCAACCCUGACGAAGCAACGCCGCGUGGAUGAUGAAGUCUCUUGGGACGUAAAAUCCUUUCGACAGGGAAGAAACCGCAAGGUUGACGGUACCUGUAGAAGAAGCCCCGGCUAACUCCGUGCCAGCAGCCGCGGUAA